GUGUCUGUUAAACCCGUGGCGAUUCAACAUCAUGAAAUUACCAAGCUCUGCAUUCGUAAUACGAAGGUCGUAGGUUCGACUCCUAUUAUCGGCACCA
This 97-nucleotide transfer RNA is filed under the name Klebsiella pneumoniae. RNAcentral's name for it is "tRNA-Thr". The record is from RNAcentral. Lineage: Bacteria; Pseudomonadati; Pseudomonadota; Gammaproteobacteria; Enterobacterales; Enterobacteriaceae.